This 468-nucleotide ribosomal RNA is filed under the name uncultured bacterium. RNAcentral's name for it is "partial 16S ribosomal RNA". It matches the Rfam family "Bacterial small subunit ribosomal RNA", at positions 28 to 507 of the family's 1533-position model. The record is from RNAcentral.
GACGAACGCUGGCGGCGUGCUUAACACAUGCAAGUCGAACGGAAAGGCCCUGCUUUUGUGGGGUGCUCGAGUGGCGAACGGGUGAGUAACACGUGAUUAACCUGCCCUUGACUUUGGGAUAACUUCAGGAAACUGGGGCUAAUACCGGAUAGGAGCUCCUGCUGCAUGGUGGUGGUUGGAAAGUUUCGGCGGUUGGGGAUGGACUCGCGGCUUAUCAGCUUGUUGGUGGGGUAGUGGCUUACCAAGGCUUUGACGGGUAGCCGGCCUGAGAGGGUGACCGGCCACAUUGGGACAGAGAUACGGCCAAGACUCAUACGGGAGGCAGCAGUGGGGAAUAGUGCAAAAUGGGCGGAAGCCUGAAGCAGCAACGCCGCGUGGGGGAUGACGGCCGUAGGGUUGUAAACCGCUUGAGCCUGUGACGAAGCGUGAGUGACGGUAAUGGGUAAAGAAGCACCGGCUAACUACGUG